This is a long non-coding RNA of Xiphophorus hellerii (green swordtail), 135 nucleotides long. RefSeq lists it as uncharacterized. The record is from RefSeq and is a predicted model, not a curated record. Lineage: Eukaryota; Metazoa; Chordata; Actinopteri; Cyprinodontiformes; Poeciliidae. The transcript has 3 exons.
AAGUAUUUGCCCACUCAUUAUUCUUAUUAAGACAACUGUGUUUUUAAACUGUGGCAGGCAUCUUACGGGCAGCAAUUCACUCAAAGUUCAGUUUCUCAGAAAAUGACAAUAUUCCAUAACAAUUUGAAAAAAGAA